CCGAGUGAGGGCCCUCUGGGUCCAACCUCCCACCCGUGUUUACCGUACCCUGUUGCUUCGGCGGGCCCGCCCUCAGCGGCCGCCGGGAUGGCCCCUUGCGCCUCCGGGCCCGCGCCCGCCGAAGACACCUGUGAACGCUGUCUGAAGGUUGCAGUCUGAGCAGAUUAGCUAAAUCGGUUA
This 180-nucleotide unclassified non-coding RNA is filed under the name uncultured Penicillium. RNAcentral's name for it is "sequence contains ITS1". The record is from RNAcentral. Lineage: Eukaryota; Fungi; Ascomycota; Eurotiomycetes; Eurotiales; Aspergillaceae.